UCGGGAAUUUUGGGCAAUGGGCGAAAGCCUGACCCAGCAACGCCGCGUGAAGGAUGAAAUCCUUCGGGAUGUAAACUUCGCAAGAACAGGAAGAAUAAGUGUGCGCGAAUAGCGCAGGCGAUGACGGUACUGUUUGUAAGCUCCGGCUAACUCCGUGCCAGCAGCCGCGGUAAUACGGGGGGAGCAAGCGUUGUUCGGAUUUACUGGGCGUAAAGGGCGCGUAGGCGGCCACUGCAAGUCAGUUGUGAAAUCUCCGGGCUUAACUCGGAAAGGUCAACUGAUACUGCAGGGCUAGAGUGCGGAAGGGGCAACUGGAAUUCUCGGUGUAGCGGUGAAAUGCGUAGAUAUCGAGAGGAACACCUGCGGCGAAGGCGGGUUGCUGGGCCGACACUGACGCUGAGGCGCGAAAGCUAGGGGAGCGAACGG
RNAcentral lists this ribosomal RNA (426 nucleotides) under uncultured bacterium. RNAcentral describes it as "bacterial SSU rRNA". It matches the Rfam family "Bacterial small subunit ribosomal RNA", at positions 355 to 775 of the family's 1533-position model. The record is from RNAcentral.